GAUGAACGCUGGCGGCGUGCCUAAUACAUGCAAGUCGAGCGAACAGACGCGGCGCUUGCUCCUCUGACGUUAGCCGCGCACGGGUGUGUCACACGUGUAUAACCUACCUAUCUGACUGGGAUCACUUCGGGACACCGGCUCUAAUACCGGAUAAUAUCUUGCUCCGCAUUGUUCAAUAGUGAAAGUCGGUUUUUCUGUCUCUUCUAGAUGCAUCCGCGCGGCAUUAGCUAGUUGGUAAGGUAACGGCUUUCUAAGGCAACGAUGCGUAGCCGACCGGAGAGAGGGAUCGGCCACAUGGGAAGUGGAACACGGUCCAGACGCCUAAGGGAGGGAGCAGUAGGGAAUGUGCCGCAAUGGGCGAAAGCUUGACGGAGCAAGGCCGCGUGAGUGAUGAAGGCGUUCGGAGCGUAAAACUCGGUUAUGAGGGAAGAACAAAUGUGUAAGUAACUAUGCACGUCGUGACGGUAACGAAUCAGAAAGCCACGGCUAACUACGUG
This 497-nucleotide ribosomal RNA is filed under the name uncultured bacterium. Its description in RNAcentral is "partial 16S ribosomal RNA". It matches the Rfam family "Bacterial small subunit ribosomal RNA", at positions 28 to 507 of the family's 1533-position model. The record is from RNAcentral.